RNAcentral lists this ribosomal RNA (439 nucleotides) under uncultured bacterium. RNAcentral's name for it is "partial 16S ribosomal RNA". It matches the Rfam family "Bacterial small subunit ribosomal RNA", at positions 338 to 795 of the family's 1533-position model. The record is from RNAcentral.
CCUACGGGAGGCAGCAGUAGGGAAUAUUGCUCAAUGGGGGAAACCCUGAAGCAGCAACGCCGCGUGGAGGAUGAAGGUUUUCGGAUCGUAAACUCCUUUUGUUAGAGAAGAUAAUGACGGUAUCUAACGAAUAAGCACCGGCUAACUCUGUGCAAGCAGCCGCGGUAAUACGGAGGGUGCAAGCGUUACUCGGAAUCACUGGGCGUAAAGAGCGCGUAGGCGGGAUAGCAAGUCAGAUGUGAAAUCCUAUGGCUUAACCAUAGAACUGCAUUUGAAACUGUUAUUCUAGAGUAUGGGGGAGGUAGGUGGAAUUCUUGGUGUAGGGGUAAAAUCCGUAGAGAUCAAGAGGAAUACUCAUUGCGAAGGCGACCUGCUAGAACAUAACUGACGCUGAUGCGCGAAAGCGUGGGGAGCAAACUGGAUUAGAUACCUGGUAGUC